UGGGUGCAACUUAGUGGUAGAGUUUGUGCCUAGCAUGCACAAACCCUGGGUUUGAUUCCGAGCACCACAA
This 70-nucleotide transfer RNA is filed under the name Marmota marmota marmota (Alpine marmot). It matches the Rfam family "tRNA". From Rfam's summary of the family: Transfer RNA (tRNA) molecules are approximately 80 nucleotides in length. Their secondary structure includes four short double-helical elements and three loops (D, anti-codon, and T loops). Further hydrogen bonds mediate the characteristic L-shaped molecular structure. tRNAs have two regions of fundamental functional importance: the anti-codon, which is responsible for specific mRNA codon recognition, and the 3' end, to which the tRNAs corresponding amino acid is attached (by aminoacyl-tRNA synthetases). tRNAs cope with the degeneracy of the genetic code in two manners: having more than one tRNA (with a specific anti-codon) for a particular amino acid; and 'wobble' base-pairing, i.e. permitting non-standard base-pairing at the 3rd anti-codon position. Lineage: Eukaryota; Metazoa; Chordata; Mammalia; Rodentia; Sciuridae. RNAcentral also lists the same sequence under 1 other name. The record is from Rfam by way of RNAcentral.